RNAcentral lists this ribosomal RNA (376 nucleotides) under Staphylococcus aureus. RNAcentral describes it as "partial 23S ribosomal RNA". It matches the Rfam family "Bacterial large subunit ribosomal RNA", at positions 557 to 935 of the family's 2925-position model. The record is from RNAcentral. Lineage: Bacteria; Bacillati; Bacillota; Bacilli; Caryophanales; Staphylococcaceae.
CGUGUGCUUACAAGUAGUCAGAGCCCGUUAAUGGGUGAUGGCGUGCCUUUUGUAGAAUGAACCGGCGAGUUACGAUUUGAUGCAAGGUUAAGCAGUAAAUGUGGAGCCGUAGCGAAAGCGAGUCUGAAUAGGGCGUUUAGUAUUUGGUCGUAGACCCGAAACCAGGUGAUCUACCCUUGGUCAGGUUGAAGUUCAGGUAACACUGAAUGGAGGACCGAACCGACUUACGUUGAAAAGUGAGCGGAUGAACUGAGGGUAGCGGAGAAAUUCCAAUCGAACCUGGAGAUAGCUGGUUCUCUCCGAAAUAGCUUUAGGGCUAGCCUCAAGUGAUGAUUAUUGGAGGUAGAGCACUGUUUGGACGAGGGGCCCCUCUCGG